Molecule: ribosomal RNA, 592 nt
Rfam family: Eukaryotic large subunit ribosomal RNA
ACCGGGAGGGUAUUGCCUUUGUCCAACGGCGAGUGAGCGGCAAAAGCUCAAAUUUGAAAUCUGGCACUUUCAGUGUCCGAGUUGUAAUUUGAAGAAGGUAACUUUGGAGUUGGCCCUUGUCUAUGUUCCUUGGAACAGGACGUCACAGAGGGUGAGAAUCCCGUGCGAUGAGGUGUCCAAUUCUAUGUAAAGUGCUUUCGAAGAGUCGAGUUGUUUGGGAAUGCAGCUCUAAGUGGGUGGUAAAUUCCAUCUAAAGCUAAAUAUUGGCGAGAGACCGAUAGCGAACAAGUACAGUGAUGGAAAGAUGAAAAGAACUUUGAAAAGAGAGUGAAAAAGUACGUGAAAUUGUUGAAAGGGAAGGGCUUGAGAUCAGACUCGGUAUUUUGCAAGCCUAUCCUUCGUGGAGAGGUUUAUUAGCAGCUUACCGGGCCAGCAUCGGUUUGGAUGGUAGGAUAAUGGCAUUGGAAUGUGGCUCCUCGGAGUGUUAUAGCCUUUGUUGAUACUGCCUAUCUAGACCGAGGACUGCGUCUUUGACUAGGAUGCUGGCGUAAUGAUCUUAAGCCGCCAAAACUUGAAACACGGACCAAAAAAC